CAGAUUUAUAAGAGCCGCAGAUCCUCGGCACUGGUUUGGCACAAGACUUCCCAAGCAGGACAUGUAACCCACAAAAUUUAGCCAGUACCCAGGGCUGCUCACAGCUUUGCUUCUUGUGAGAUUUAACGAAGAUGAUGGUCUUAAAAUGGUUUUACCACGAGAAAACUUCCCCACAAGGAAUACACCUGUUGUCUUCCCCUGAGGCCUCACACUGCCAGUCAACUAAAUGAUAGAUCCAGAAGGUUUACCACAGAUCAUGGGGAGACAAUACAGAGAAUAGCUAAUGUACAACUCAAAGGACAGACUGAUGGAUUACAAGCCACACUGACUGUAUCCUCACCUGAUAAAAGGUCUAGAGAUGGCCAGGACGGUCCUGAUGAACCACGUUGGGUAUGGUCUGAUGACCUGCAUGUCAAUCCGCUGCUCCUGGUCACCGAUGAUCACUGUUCGCCACAGACGACCAGAUGAGUCUCUCUCCUCUUCACUUUCACCAGGAAGGCGCUUGGCAGUGGCCACAGGGGUGUCAUCUAGACACAAGGUGACACAAAAAGGCCAGCCAGAGGGAGUUGAUGUAUGACACCUAAACUCAAACCAAGGACAUUACAGCUCGUUGCCAUUGUUGAUGAACUCCAGCGAAUCCGUCUCAUCGGGAGUCUCGAUGUCGUCUACGUUGAUGUCCAGGUCAUCGGGCGUUUCCAGAAACUCAUCAGACAGCAUCGACCCCUCGCUCUGAUCCAGGGAG
Molecule: long non-coding RNA, 742 nt
Organism: Centropristis striata (black sea bass)
Lineage: Eukaryota; Metazoa; Chordata; Actinopteri; Perciformes; Serranidae
Exons: 6
Source: RefSeq, a predicted model, not a curated record